UGGACGUGGAGGUGUGGCACUCGCACGCGCCUGCUCUACCCUGCACCUUCUCCGAAUCCGUUCGCCGAAGUGCUCGAGAAGGCGCUUGAGGUCGGCAUGCUCGCCGGCGACGCCGGGCCCCUCCCUCCUCCUGAUGCCCUCUCCGUCGCCGCCUUGAGCCUCUCCACCCUCUCCCGUGCGGUCGUCCGGGUCCAGAUUGCUGCACCUUCUGGUUGUGAGUGGAUCCAAGAGUCAGCAUGAUACAGUAUCUUUUCAAAAGAUGAUAGAUUAUCUUCAUGAAAGAAAGGAAGUUGGAGAAUUAUCAUUGAAGAGGAAUUCAGUGUCAUGUGUUUCUCAAGAGCUAAAAUGGAACAAGAAGUGCAAAACUGGCAAUUCUUUUUGUAAUACUAUUAAGCUCGUCAUGGUGGUCACCAUGAAUGAGUGUCUGGUUUAAUCUCUAGGAAAUUUCCCGAGGGAGGAAAAGGAGGUGCUGAAAGGGGAUGGGAGCAAGAAGUAUAAAUCGAAGAGUAUGUUUUGAUUCUGAGUUGCAUUGCACAGUAUUUUCAUUGUUCUAAGAAAUUCAUGGAAUUGUAUGGAACAUUCCUUCAUGUGAUAGGCAUAUUUGUUUACUAAAUCAAACUGCAUAGUUCCAACAAACAGACA
This is a long non-coding RNA of Triticum dicoccoides, 642 nucleotides long. RefSeq lists it as uncharacterized. Lineage: Eukaryota; Viridiplantae; Streptophyta; Magnoliopsida; Poales; Poaceae. The record is from RefSeq and is a predicted model, not a curated record. The transcript has 3 exons.